AGCAGCCGCGGUAAUUCCAGCCCCAAUAGCGUAUAUUAAAGUUGUUGCAGUUAAAAAAGCUCGUAGUCGAACCUUAGGCCCGUGCGGGUGGUCCGUCCUCUGGGCGAGCACUGCGUCGUUGCGGGUCUCACCUUCUGGCGAGCGUGGAUGCCAUUCACUUGGUGUCCGCGGGAACCAGGACCUUUACCUUGAAAAAAUUAGAGUGCUCAAAGCGGGCUCGUACGCUUGAAUACAUUAGCAUGGAAUAAUGAAAUAGGACGACGGUUCUAUUUUGUUGGUUUCCGGGACGGUCGUAAUGAUUAAUAGGGAUAGUUGGGGCAUUCGUAUUCAAUUGUCAGAGGUGAAAUUCUUGGAUUUAUUGAAGACUAACUACUGCGAAAGCAUUUGCCAAGGAUGUUUUCAUUAAUCUAAGAACGAAAGUUAGGGAUCGAAGACGAUCAGAUACCGUCGUAGUCUUAACCAUAAACUAUGCCGACUAGGGAUCGGAUGAUGUUGUAUUUUUAAUGACUCAUACGGCGCCUUAACCGGG
RNAcentral lists this ribosomal RNA (529 nucleotides) under uncultured Paraglomus. RNAcentral describes it as "bacterial SSU rRNA". It matches the Rfam family "Eukaryotic small subunit ribosomal RNA", at positions 569 to 1094 of the family's 1831-position model. The record is from RNAcentral. Lineage: Eukaryota; Fungi; Glomeromycota; Glomeromycetes; Paraglomerales; Paraglomeraceae.